UUCAUUGAGUGUGUGUUGUUGUAAUCUUACGCGAAAACUGCAACGAUCCACGCGAUUAUAGCCAAAUGGGAGGUUUUUGCAUCGAGCUAUGAUUAAUGUAGUUACGGCCGGCAACUGGUUUGGGUUUUUGGAACGGACUCGCAAAGUGGAACUCCGUGUGUAGCGACUCGACCGCAGCGGCAGUGGAACGAAGUUGACCUGGCGUUGGGGUUUUCUAUUCUACGAAGAUUUUGCCAUGCACACAUUCUUUUAAGUUAUCUUGCAAUCUACCCGUCUGCACCUAGGAAAACACUUUAUUCGCCAGAUCAGAUCUCGGAUGGUGAUAGUUGUGAAAUUGCACAUCGUCGGACAAGUAUUUCGUUGUUUCCACACACUUCCAAAUCAGCUGACCUAACAAAAAGAUACUGGAUUCAGAGAGCGAGAGAGAGGUGUUUUGAAUUGUGUCUGCGGCGUUUGUGAUUGGAGUUAGCCCCUCUCUCGGGGACUGUGACUUAACUUUGUGGAAUUACUCGCUGAAGACCCAAGGGACAUAAUGCAGAAUCCAACACAGCCUAGGAUGCCAUACGGCCCCACCGAUAAAGAACUCAGCGAUCUUUUAGAUUUUAGCGCGAUGUUUUCACCGCCAACUGGUGUUGUUGGGCCAAAAAACGGUGUACACGCCGUCACCUCACACCCAUCAGUUGAUGGGAGAACGCUCCAGAGGCCUCACUACAAAACAGGAAUGGAAGAGGGUCAGGGUUCAUGGGGUUCUAACAGUCACCCGAGUCCUAGCUAUGACUCGCGGGGAUAUGAAGGUUCAUCUUACAAUGAUCAUAUGCCUGAUAAUCGAAUGCAGCUUAAUAAUAAUAUGUCAUAUUCCCAUGAUAUGAACUCUAAUAAUAGUAGUAUGUCUUCAUUUAUGGGUAAACCCAUAGACAGUAGUAAACCUUACCAGAUGCCUUAUACCAUGCCCAAUAGGGAAAUGCCGCCAAGUCAGGCGGGUAUGUCAUCAAUGGCAAAUGAAAUGCCUCUAUCAAGUCCAAAUUCCCUUUCACCACACAGUAAAAGGGGAUCACCAUUUCCAUUUGGUUACAAUAACAGUGCUCGACGUCCAUUAGUGCCUGAAUCUUCAAGACUAGCAGGAGGCCCUACUGCAAAGAGACCCAGAGGUCUGAGUGCAGCACCGGUUGAUUCGCCAUCAGGGUCCUAUGAUCCGUACAGUCAAGAUUCACCUCGAUACACCUCACCCAAGCCACCUACAAACAUGUAUCCAGAAUUCAUGGAUGGUUCACAUGGCAGUCCCGAUCCAUGGAGUAAUAACGGCAUGCCUCCGUCCACUGGUUUUUCUUCAGCAAUCUUAAAUAAUACUUCAUCUAGUUAUACAAAUGUGCACCAACGGCCUCACGAGCACAUGGGUUAUGGUCACACGAUGUCACCUGGUAGUCAUGAGACUAUUAGUAUGCGCCCGAGUCUUCCACCAAUAUCUUCAUUUCAUGGCAAUCCAACAAGCGGCAGCACACCUUACACGUCGAAUACUUCACCUUUAAAUGGUUCUGAAAGUAUUAUGCCAGGAGGAAGAAGUAGUACUGGACCAGCAUCCAGUGGUGGUGGUGCUGGGGGUGGCUCACAAACAGGAGAUGCACUCGGACAGGCUUUAGCGUCGAUAUAUCAACCAGACCAAACUAACAAUAGCUAUCCUUCGAACACUUCCACUCCUGUUGGUUCUCCAGCACCCAUGUCAGCAGGGCAAUGGACCAGACCAAGCAGUCAGGCGUCACCUGGUCCCUAUGUGGAAAGCCAUCUUCAUUCUCUGCCAACACGCAUGGAAGAAAGACUUGACGAUGCAAUACAUAUACUAAGGGACAGAGCCCAGCAAAGUCGUAUGGAAGAAAGACUUGAUGAUGCAAUCAAUGUAUUACGUAACCACGCUGGCGAAGUCUCGUACGGCAACAUGUCUAUUAUUGGCAGUGGUGGUAUGGGCGGUAGUCAACAUCAUCCAACGCAUCCUAAUGGUGCCAUGGAAUCCCAUAUGACGUACCACAAUCAAUACGACCCUAUGGUUCAAGCACAUAUGCCUGGUCCGCCUUCGCAUGGUCACCAACCACAUCAACCAAUGUCAGAUGAAGUGCCCAGUCCUCACUCACGUUUACGUAACUCAGUGCCUGUUGGUGGCUCAGCCACAACUCCUGAUAUUGCACAACCUCAGCAGCCUUUUAAUGCUGUUCAGAAUGAGAUGCUAGGUCAGAAUGGAUCACCAUCUCAAGGUAUCAAAAUUGAAAAAAUAGAUCAAGACAAAAAUGACAAGUCUAAAGAAAAGAGCAAUAAAGAUGGCAAACAGGAGCAUUCAGAUGGAAGUAUGGUAUCCGGGCAACCAGGGGGAAGAUCGAAAAAGUCGAGAAUGGAUGAUUUUGAUGUUCAUGAAAAGAUGGGUGCUGAGAAAAGAAACCACCAGAAGAUGAACCCCCAGAAGUACGAGCUGUACGGGAAAAGGAGAGACGUCACGCCAAUAAUGCCAGGGAACGAAUUAGAGUUAGGGAUAUUAAUGAGGCCUUCAAGGAGUUAGGCCGCAUGUGUGCACUGCACCUGAAAAGCGAUAAAGCGCAAACAAAACUUGUUAUUUUACAUCAAGCUGUUAGCGUUAUUACGAGUUUAGAGCAACAGGUCCGAGAACGCAAUCUUAACCCUAAAGCUGCUUGUCUCAAGAGACGAGAAGAAGAAAAAGUAGAAGAAUUACCAAAUCGAGCAAUAACAGGGCCUCCUCCACCAGGUGGAGAUCAAGGCGCGUUAGGAGAUGCGCAUUCUCCAAUGUCACCAUACCUCUGUGUUAGUGAUUACUCGUCACCCUGAGUUGUUGGGCACUGAUAGAACUGGUACAAAGAGGACAGCGACUGGAAUUCCCAUAAUGCAUAGCACAACAGAAACGUUUUCCGGAUGUGAUCUAUUCGGGACACCCGCUGAUUCUUUAGGAGUGGGAGAACAAUUUUCUUUUCAAACUGCCAACAUAGGACUGUCUCCUGUAUCGCCG
Molecule: unclassified non-coding RNA, 3004 nt
Filed under: Saccoglossus kowalevskii
Lineage: Eukaryota; Metazoa; Hemichordata; Enteropneusta; Harrimaniidae
Description: transcription factor 12-like protein
Source: RNAcentral